GUGGGUAUAGUUCAGUAGUAAAGAGCUUGCUUAGCAUGCAUGAGGUCCUGGGUUCAAUCCCCAGUACCCCCA
RNAcentral lists this transfer RNA (72 nucleotides) under Camelus bactrianus (Bactrian camel). It matches the Rfam family "tRNA". From Rfam's summary of the family: Transfer RNA (tRNA) molecules are approximately 80 nucleotides in length. The record is from Rfam by way of RNAcentral. Lineage: Eukaryota; Metazoa; Chordata; Mammalia; Artiodactyla; Camelidae. RNAcentral also lists the same sequence under 1 other name.